CCCUGAUGUUAGCGGCGGACGGGUGAGUAACACGUGGGUAACCUGCCUGUAAGACUGGGAUAACUCCGGGAAACCGGGGCUAAUACCGGAUGCUUGUUUGAACCGCAUGGUUCAAACAUAAAAGGUGGCUUCGGCUACCACUUACAGAUGGACCCGCGGCGCAUUAGCUGGUUGGUGAGGUAACGGCUCACCAAGGCAACGAUGCGUAGCCGACCUGAGAGGGUGAUCGGCCACACUGGGACUGAGACACGGCCCAGACUCCUACGGGAGGCAGCAGUAGGGAAUCUUCCGCAAUGGACGAAAGUCUGACGGAGCAACGCCGCGUGAGUGAUGAAGGUUUUCGGAUCGUAAAGCUCUGUUGUUAGGGAAGAACAAGUACCGUUCGAAUAGGGCGGUACCUUGACGGUACCUAACCAGAAAGCCACGGCUAACUACGUGCCAGCAGCCGCGGUAAUACGUAGGUGGCAAGCGUUGUCCGGAAUUAUUGGGCGUAAAGGGCUCGCAGGCGGUUUCUUAAGUCUGAUGUGAAAGCCCCCGGCUCAACCGGGGAGGGUCAUUGGAAACUGGGGAACUUGAGUGCAGAAGAGGAGAGUGGAAUUCCACGUGUAGCGGUGAAAUGCGUAGAGAUGUGGAGGAACACCAGUGGCGAAGGCGACUCUCUGGUCUGUAACUGACGCUGAGGAGCGAAAGCGUGGGGAGCGAACAGGAUUAGAUACCCUGGUAGUCCACGCCGUAAACGAUGAGUGCUAAGUGUUAGGGGUUUCCGCCCCUUAGUGCUGCAGCUAACGCAUUAAGCACUCCGCCUGGGGAGUACGGUCGCAGACUGAAACUCAAAGGAAU
Molecule: ribosomal RNA, 840 nt
Filed under: Bacillus subtilis
Lineage: Bacteria; Bacillati; Bacillota; Bacilli; Caryophanales; Bacillaceae
Description: bacterial SSU rRNA
Rfam family: Bacterial small subunit ribosomal RNA
Source: RNAcentral